UGGCUCAGAGGUAGAGUGCUUGUCUAGCAUGCAGGAGGCCCUGGGUUUGAUCCCCAG
RNAcentral lists this transfer RNA (57 nucleotides) under Mesocricetus auratus (golden hamster). It matches the Rfam family "tRNA", at positions 8 to 63 of the family's 71-position model. From Rfam's summary of the family: Transfer RNA (tRNA) molecules are approximately 80 nucleotides in length. Lineage: Eukaryota; Metazoa; Chordata; Mammalia; Rodentia; Cricetidae. The record is from Rfam by way of RNAcentral.